CGGGCACCUAGUCUGGUUAACUGAUGAACUUCCUGGGCUAACUUCUUCUUACUGUACUCCACAUGAGCAACACUACCCAUAGACAGUCUACUGAGAGCAUCAGCCACUAUAUUGGCCUUGCCUAGAUGAUAAAGGACACUUAUGUCAUAAUCCUUCAAGAGCUUUAACCACCUUCUCUGACAGAAGUUAAGAUAUUUCUAUGAGAACAUGUACUGGAG
This 218-nucleotide long non-coding RNA is filed under the name Capsicum annuum. Its description in RNAcentral is "long non-coding RNA (CANN_LNC014592)". The record is from RNAcentral. Lineage: Eukaryota; Viridiplantae; Streptophyta; Magnoliopsida; Solanales; Solanaceae.